UUUCCCACUGUACAGCAAGGGGGUCAGGUUAUCCUUACAUGUAUACAUUACUAUUACAUUUUUCCCCCACCCUUUGUUCUGUUGCAACAUGAGUAUCUAAACAAAGUUCUCAAUGCUAUUCAGCAGGAUCUCCUUGUAUAUCUAUUCUAAGUUGUGUCUGAUAAGUCCAAGCUCCCAAUCCCUCCCACUCCCUCCCCCUCCCAUCAGGCAGCCACAAGUCUCUUCUCCAAGUCCAUGAUUUUCUUUUCUGAGGAGAUGUUCAUUUGUGCUGGAUAUUAGAUUCCAGUUAUAAGUGAUAUCAUCUGGUAUUUGUCUUUGUCUUUCUAGCUCAUUUCACUAAGGAUGAGAUUCUCUAGUUCCAUCCAUGUUGCUGCAAAUGGCAUUAUGUCAUCCUUUUUUAUGGCUGAGUAGUAUUCCAUUGUGUCUAUAUACCACAUCUUCCGAAUCCAAUCCUCUGUCUAUGGACAUUUGGGUUGUUUCCAUGUCCUGGCUAUUGUGAAUAGGGCUGCAAUGAACAUGCGGGUGCACGUGUCUCUUUUAAUUAGAGUUUUGUCCGGAUAGAUGCCCAAGAGUGGGAUUGUGGGGUCAUAUGGAAGUUCUAUGUAUAGAUUUCUAAGGUAUCUCCCAACUGUUCUCCAUAUGGCUGUACCAGUUUACAUUCCCACCAGCAGUGCAGGAGGGUUCCCUUUUCUCCACAGCCCCUCCAGCACUUGUUAUUUGUGGAUUUAUGAAUGAUGGCCAUUCUGACUGGUGUGAGGUGGUAUCUCAUGGUAGUUUUGUUUUGCAUUGCUCUUAUAAUCAGCGAUGUUGAGCAUUUUUUCAUGUGUUUGUUGGCCAUCUGUAUAUCUUCUUUGGAGAAAUGUCUAUUGAGGUCUUUUGCCCAUUUUUCCAUUGAUUGAUUGGCUUUUUUGCUGUUGGGUUGUAUAAGUUGUUUAUAUAUUCUAGAGAUUAAGCCCUUGUCCGUUGCAUCAUUUGAAACUGUUUUCUCCCAUUCUGUAAGUUGUCUUUUGGUUUUCUUUUUGGUUUCCUUUGCUGUGCAAAAGCUUUUCAGUUUGAUGAGGUCCCAUGGGUAUAUUUUUGCUCUAAUUUCUAUUGCUUUGGGAGACUGACCUGAGAAAUACUCAUGAUGUUGAUGUCAGAGAGUGUUUUGCCUAUGUUUUCUUCUAGGAGUUGGAUGGUGUCCUGUCUUCUAUUCAAGUCUUUCAGCCAUUUGGAGUUUAUUUUUGUGCAUGGUGUGAGGGUGUGUUCUAGUUUCAUUGCUUUGCAUGCAGCUGUCCAGGUUUCCCAGCAAUGCUUGCUGAAUAGACUUUCUUUUUCCCAUUUUAUG
Molecule: long non-coding RNA, 1327 nt
Filed under: Sus scrofa (pig)
Lineage: Eukaryota; Metazoa; Chordata; Mammalia; Artiodactyla; Suidae
Description: lncRNA (ENSSSCG00055021178.1)
Source: RNAcentral